GACGAACGCUGGCGGCGUGCUUAACACAUGCAAGUCGAACGGAAAGGCUCCAGCUUGCUGGCGUACUCGAGUGGCGAACGGGUGAGUAACACGUGGGUAAUCUGCCCUGCACUCUGGGAUAAGCCUGGGAAACUGGGUCUAAUACUGGAUAUGGCCUUUCUCCUUAUGGGGUUUGGUGGAAAGUUUUUCGGUGUAGGAUGAGCCCGCGGCCUAUCAGCUUGUUGGUGGGGUGAUGGCCUACCAAGGCGACGACGGGUAGCCGGCCUGAGAGGGUGAUCGGCCACAUUGGGACUGAGAUACGGCCCAGACUCCUACGGGAGGCAGCAGUGGGGAAUAUUGCACAAUGGGCGGAAGCCUGAUGCAGCGACGCCGCGUGAGGGAUGACGGCCUUCGGGUUGUAAACCUCUUUCAGCAGGGACGAAGCGUAAGUGACGGUACCUGCAGAAGAAGCACCGGCUAACUAUGUG
This 467-nucleotide ribosomal RNA is filed under the name uncultured bacterium. Its description in RNAcentral is "partial 16S ribosomal RNA". It matches the Rfam family "Bacterial small subunit ribosomal RNA", at positions 28 to 507 of the family's 1533-position model. The record is from RNAcentral.